AUGGAGAACAAGGAGGCUCCGGCGGCGGCGGCGGCCGCAGUGCCGGAGAAGGAGUCGACGUCGUGCUUCAAGAGCACGGUGGGGGAGGACGCGUCGCUCUUGGAGAAGGCCAAGGACCAGUACAAGCAGUUCACGGGGGCGCUGGCGGGCGAGCACUGGGAGUGCCUCAAGAACAAGGUCACCUCCAUGUUCCCCGACCCCAUCCCCUUCUUCGGCGGAGGCGCCAAGGACCACGGCUCCACCAACAACAACACGCCGCCGCCCGUCGAGUCGCACUAG
RNAcentral lists this ribosomal RNA (279 nucleotides) under Triticum aestivum (bread wheat). RNAcentral's name for it is "partial small subunit ribosomal RNA". Lineage: Eukaryota; Viridiplantae; Streptophyta; Magnoliopsida; Poales; Poaceae. The record is from RNAcentral.